Molecule: long non-coding RNA, 202 nt
Filed under: Elaeis guineensis (African oil palm)
Lineage: Eukaryota; Viridiplantae; Streptophyta; Magnoliopsida; Arecales; Arecaceae
Description: long non-coding RNA (EGUI_LNC071867)
Source: RNAcentral
CCCCUCAAGCUUGAUCCCUAACCUACCUAAGGUUGGAACAGAUUGAAAGUAUGGUAUCCACAAAUUCACGACGGCUUUCCCGUAUCGCUGAAGAAAUGACAUGAAAUUGCUUUCCACUUCAUUAAUGGACGGCAAAGGACUAAUCACACCCAUUUCCAGAUAGUGAAUUCUAUCCUCAAACCACAUACCUCAAAGAAGGGGG